CCUACGGUGGGCAGCAGUGAGGAAUAUUGGUCAAUGGCCGCAUGGCUGAACCAGCCAAGUCGCGUGAGGGAUGACGGUCCUAUGGAUUGUAAACCUCUUUUGUCAGGGAGCAAAGGGCGCCACGUGUGGCGUUUUGCGAGUACCUGAAGAAAAAGCAUCGGAAAACUCCGGGCCAGCAGCCGCGGUAAUACGGAGGAUGCGAGCGUUAUCCGGAUUUGUUGGGUUAAAAGGGUGCGCAGGCGGAAUGUCAAGUCAGCGGGAAAAUUUCGGGGCUAAACCCCGACGUGCCGUUGAAACUGGCGUGCUUGAGUGAGCGAGAAGGAGGUGGAAUGCGUGGUGUAGCGGUGAAAUGCAUAGAUAGCUGGCAGAACUCCGAUUGCGAAGGCAGCAUACCGGCGAUCGACUGACGCUCAUGCACGAAAGCGUGGGGAUCGAACAGGAUUAGAUACCCUUGUAGUC
Molecule: ribosomal RNA, 459 nt
Filed under: uncultured bacterium
Lineage: Bacteria
Description: partial 16S ribosomal RNA
Rfam family: Bacterial small subunit ribosomal RNA
Source: RNAcentral